RNAcentral lists this long non-coding RNA (842 nucleotides) under Fukomys damarensis (Damara mole-rat). Its description in RNAcentral is "lncRNA (ENSFDAG00000027836.1)". The record is from RNAcentral. Lineage: Eukaryota; Metazoa; Chordata; Mammalia; Rodentia; Bathyergidae.
GUUUAUCCACAUAAAGAGUCCUAUGGGAGGGGGGCUGAUUUGUUGAAGAUUACUGGGAAUUAGGAUGACUUACUUACUAUCUUGGUGGUAGAGGUAGAAACAGGUAAGUAUAAAAAACCUGUUCACAGAGCUAAGACAGACUUGAGUGAGAAAACCAGUCUCUCCUCCAGGCAGCAUCUGAAAAUCUGUCACUUGUUCCUGCAUAACACUCUCCCCAUCAUGAGGAACAUAGACUCAAUUGUCCUCAGUGUGAACACAUCUUAUAAACAUGGGAAUUAGUGGUUAUUUUCAUGAUGUAAGUGAAGCACCUGUAACUUUAAACAUUUUAAGAACUACUUUUUGGUUUGAGCUUAACUUGCUCUUGUUCCACGACUACUGACACAAAUUAUUAAGAACAAGAAAACAUUCCCUGGGUAAUAGACAGAGUAUAUACUCCUAAUCCUAAUGGAGCUGUUAGGUUAGAACUCGCCCCAACGCCUCUGCCAGGAGCUACAUUACAAUACUACAAACUCUUCUCUUUAUUUAGAGGAGCGUGCUAUCCUCACCUCCACAGAUGACACUGAUACGGAGCACAAGCUGCUGGAGGAAGUUAUUGUUGAACGACCACCAGUUUAUGUAAUUGUAAGUUUAUCUUUGGGCUUCCUCACACCCACCCCCAUGGACUUUCUCAAUGACCACCAGUGCUUUCUCCCAUUCAUCUCCAAGAACAGGAUGCACUGUAAAGAGGAUAGUCCCAUGUGUGCAGUCUCUCUACUUCCACUGAGUGCAUUUGAAAAUAUUUCAUACAAAGAACAUAAGAAGAAAUAUGUAGCAUGGUCAGCUGUUUCUUGCCUGUUGAUUAC